This 484-nucleotide ribosomal RNA is filed under the name uncultured bacterium. Its description in RNAcentral is "bacterial SSU rRNA". It matches the Rfam family "Bacterial small subunit ribosomal RNA", at positions 28 to 506 of the family's 1533-position model. The record is from RNAcentral.
GAUGAACGCUAGCGGCAGGCCUAACACAUGCAAGUCGAGGGGCAGCACAGGUAGCAAUACUGGGUGGCGACCGGCGGAUGGGUGCGUAACGCGUAUGCAACCUACCAUUGAUUGGGGCAUAGCCCGAAGAAAUUCGGAUUAAUACUCCAUAAUAUUCAUCAAAGGCAUCUUUUAUGAAUUAAAGCUUUUGCGAUCAAUGAUGGGCAUGCGUGACAUUAGUUAGUUGGUGAGGUAACGGCUCACCAAAACGAUGAUGUCUAGGGGUUCUGAGAGGAUUAUCCCCCACACUGGUACUGAGACACGGACCAGACUCCUACGGGAGGCAGCAGUGAGGAAUAUUGGUCAAUGGACGCAAGCCUGAACCAGCCAUCCCGCGUGCAGGAAGACGGCCCUAUGGGUUGUAAACUGCUUUUCCAGGGAGAGAAACUUACGCACGUGUUGCGUGACUGACGGUACCCUGGGAAUAAGCAUCGGCUAACUCCGU